RNAcentral lists this long non-coding RNA (802 nucleotides) under Lathyrus oleraceus (garden pea). RNAcentral describes it as "Pisum sativum (pea) long non-coding RNA (PSAT_LNC026767)". Lineage: Eukaryota; Viridiplantae; Streptophyta; Magnoliopsida; Fabales; Fabaceae. The record is from RNAcentral.
CAAAAUCGAAGCCGAACCAAGCUAGAAGAGACGAGAGAAGGGGAUUCGAGGUUUACCUGAGUCACUGCCGUCGCCGGAAGUAAGUUUUCGCUGGAUUUUUUUCUUCUUACCUUUGAUCGUUGCUCGCUUUAGAUAGAGAGCUUUGAGAGAAGUAGAGAGCGAAGGAGUGAGAGGGAUUCGUGAGAGGGAGAGGAUGAAGAGAAAAGCCACGUUAGUAUUCUUUUUUUAUUUAAUUCUUUUCUUUAAUUUAGUUCUUUAACAGAAUUUUUUGAAAUUUAAAGUUCAUUAGGUAAUAAUUAUUUUUUCUGUUUUCAAUUUAUUCCUCAUUGUAAACCCAACAGCCAUGCGGCUGGGUUUAAUUGCUAGUAGACCAACAGUUUUAUUUUUUAUUUAGUUUUUUAUUUUAAUCCUAUUCUUUUUUAGUUUAUCUUAGUUUAUAUAUUUAAGUUAGUAUUAAAAUAUCAGUUAGUUAGUAAGUGGUCUGGUGGAGGGGAGUGGCUUCUAGAUCUUUAGUUUAGUGGGUUCGAUACUCCUAAGCAUAGUUUUUCUUUCUUUUAAUAUUUUCUUUCAUAUUUAUGCUUUAUUAUUUAUAUUUCUUUUUUUUUAUUAUUGUUUAAUAAUAUAGAUUUGUUUUUUCUUUUAAUUGCAUCAUGCAUUCGAAACCAUUUUUUUAACUUAUAAAAAUCAUAUUUUCUCGAUUUAAUAUCGAGCCCAUUUUCCACACCCUUGUAAGUCGAUUGCUUUUUAAGCAUCGCCAUCAACCUCACAUAGCUUACUCUUGGGCUUUCUUACAAUGAGCCGG